RNAcentral lists this long non-coding RNA (1378 nucleotides) under Monodelphis domestica (gray short-tailed opossum). RNAcentral describes it as "lncRNA (ENSMODG00000046876.1)". Lineage: Eukaryota; Metazoa; Chordata; Mammalia; Didelphimorphia; Didelphidae. The record is from RNAcentral.
AGGACAUUGUAAGUAUCAAAUUAGGCAUUAUGAAGUGCUCUGCUAUAUAAAUGCUAGGUGUUAUUAUGAUUUAGUUAUAUAUGUAGGAUGUAUUUGUUCAAGAAAUGUAAGGCUGUUUGUUGUUCAGUCAUUUUCAGCUCUUCAUGAUCUUAUUGUUUUGGUUUUCUUGGCAAAGUUAUUGGAGUGGCUUGUCAUUUUUCUCCAACUCAUUUUACAAAUAAGGAAACUGAGGCAAACAAUGUUAAGUGACUUACUUGCCCAGGGUAAUAUAGUAAGAAGUGUCUGAGGUCAGAAUUUAAAUUCAGGUCUUCCUGAUGCUAGGUCCUGAACUCUAUCCACUAUGCCACCUAGCUACCCACUAUAAAGAAUACAUUUUUAUAACUGAGAGUCAUAAAUCAAGGUGCUGUGGUAGCAUAGAAAGAGACCUGGAUUUGAGACCCAUGUUACUGGACCUAAUUUCAAUUUCUGACUCUGCUUUUUAAUAUCUGUGGUACUUUGGAUAUUUCUCUUUUCUCUGGACUUCAAUUUCCUCAUUGGACAAAUAAAGGGUUUGAACUAGGGAGCUUCUGAGGUUCCCUUCCAGCUCUAAAUCCUAUAAUCCUAUGGCAUCGAUGGAUCUGAGUUUGGAUUCCUGCCUUUGAAUUUACCCAUUGCAUGACCCUGGGAUAACAGAACUGGCAGGACAGAGAGAAGAAAUAGCUGAAGCCUAUAGUGGAUGCCAAUCCAGUAGCCCAACAUCCUGCAGACUAAUCAGGAAGGGGAGGAGCUCCUGCCCCACCUUUUGCCAGGCUGGAUUAGCUGCAACUGAGCACUUUUACAUACAGUGCCUCCCCCACCUCUUCCAUUCUGAGAAAGGACAGAAGAACAGGAUAUGAGGAAAAGGCAUCAAGAUCCCUAAAUCUAGACAUGGGAAAUGGAGGAGGAGGGGAGACAGCAACCAUCAGGCCUCCUACGCACUUUGAAGAUGGUCCAUCAUAUGGAAUGCCAGGUGCUGAAGUUUCAAAGGAUUUGGGUCUAUUGGCAGAGGGCAAAGUCCCAUGAAGUGACUGAAGAAAAUUCAACAUCUUGGGCCUGUCUUAUUCUCCCAAGGGGAUGUUGACAUCAACCCCCAAGAAACAACCCUGGACUAAGAGGGAAGAGACCUAAGUUUGAGCAUGGAAUCUGCUACUAAAUCACUCUGUGACCUUGGAAAGUCUCUUUCUCCAUUUUGGGCCUAAGACAACCCUCCUGCAAAUGAAGGGACUAGACAAGGUGUUAUCUAGGAUUCCUCCCUCCAUCUCUACCUGUCUUUGGUUCUGAAGCCAUCUUUAACCAGUCUAUCUGGAUUCUCAUCAUCCAAAUACAAAAUAAAGUAGAAUAGGCAUAUAUUCUGUAGGCA